This is a non-coding RNA of Betaproteobacteria bacterium, 172 nucleotides long. Lineage: Bacteria; Pseudomonadati; Pseudomonadota; Betaproteobacteria. The record is from Rfam.
GCGAGGGCGACCGAGCGUGGGAAGGAAGCGUGGAGCGAAACCGCGUGCCGAUGGACAAGAACCGGAUACGAGGCGCCGCCGGUCAGGGCGAGCAGGCAAUUGACUGCAAAGCUCUCGCGGCCAAGGGCCAGGCGGCGUAAAUCCGGCGUUGGUGCGGUGAAGGAUCGCGUUC